RNAcentral lists this transfer RNA (71 nucleotides) under Loxodonta africana (African savanna elephant). It matches the Rfam family "tRNA". Rfam says of the family: Transfer RNA (tRNA) molecules are approximately 80 nucleotides in length. Lineage: Eukaryota; Metazoa; Chordata; Mammalia; Proboscidea; Elephantidae. The record is from Rfam by way of RNAcentral.
GCACUGGUAGUUCAGUGGUAGUACUCUCGCCUUCCAUGUGAGAGACCUGAGUUCAAUCCCCAGCUAAUGUA